CUGGUGCUGAUGAAACCCAGGACACCCACAGGGCCGGGUCCCAGAUCACCUCCUCCGAGAAGCCACCGCCACCCUCCGGCCCCGGCCACCCGGCCUCCAGGCCUCCUCCGCCAAGCCAGGCUCCGGCCAGCCCACUAGACUGGGGGCUCCUUGAGGGCAGGAACGGGCUCGGCGUCUCCGUUUCAAUCCCCCU
This 193-nucleotide long non-coding RNA is filed under the name Fukomys damarensis (Damara mole-rat). Its description in RNAcentral is "lncRNA (ENSFDAG00000026641.1)". Lineage: Eukaryota; Metazoa; Chordata; Mammalia; Rodentia; Bathyergidae. The record is from RNAcentral.